Molecule: non-coding RNA, 1288 nt
Organism: Podarcis lilfordi (Lilford's wall lizard)
Lineage: Eukaryota; Metazoa; Chordata; Lepidosauria; Squamata; Lacertidae
Source: the annotation of a GenBank genome assembly
ACCUGAAGCACUAUUUCUGGGUUAGCAGAGUCUGUAACCUGAAGCGUAUGUAACCCGAGGUACCACUGUAUAGAUAAAGGACUGGCUAAGAGGCCAACUGAAAAGUUAAUGACUGAAGAGAGAUUUCAGUCAGGGAUUUUCCAGGACCCCCACUCUCUCAGCCACUACAUUUGCACACUAGAUUGCUAUUUAACCAUCUAGUCCUGCCCUAAAGGUGAAGAAAUUCUCCCACCCCCAUUUCUUCCCGACACAUGAGAAACACUUGCAGCUAGAGGUGGAACACUGAGGGCACUGGUCAGAAUGGACUGAAGUGAAUGGAGACAAUAGAAAAUCCUGAUGUGAGGAUGCAUUACUGACAGCACUUUAAUGAAAGCUCCAGACCAGUCUGAAAUGUGCAGACACACAUGCGGACAGGACUAGAGCCCAUUCCAUGGCAACAGCACAGAACUGCUUCCCUGCCUGGCUUGAUUUCUCCAGCUACUGAAAUUCACUAGGAUUGCCACACUGGAGUAGAUAAGUUCUCUGGCUCAGCCAGGAGCUCAGGUUGGUGUGGGGGAGAUUUUGCCUGGCUCUGUGUGGCCCCAUUCAUUACUCAAGCUGCCAACUCACUAAAAAAAAGUAACCCUUCAGUUGCAGAUACUAUCCCUUUUUGGCCUGCUUUUUUAAUUAAUUUAAUUUUAUUUUUUUGGGUUGGCCUAGGGUGUGGUUAUUCAUUUGUGGCUGGCUGUGGUGGUCUUUGUUUUCAUGUGUGACUGGGGUGGGUGGGUGUUUUGGAUCAGGUUAGCCUGAUUGAUUUCCUGUUGGUGGUUUUUGUCAUUGUCUUGUUGGGCUGUGUAAGUGAUAAAGGGGAGCCAUACCGGGGCAAAGGUGUCUUCUUCUAUUUGUCCCCGUGUCAGUUUCAGUUUAUUGGUUAAUUUUUCUAGUAGGGCUGUUUCCCAUACUAUUAGGUACCAUUGGUCCAUGCUUACUCCUGACAGGUCUCUCCAGUGUCUGGCUAUGAUGCUUUUGGCCUGCUUUUAUGAUGCCCCAUCGGUCAAUUCACACACCACAGAAUUGUUGGUUGUUGUUGUUUUAAAUUUAUUAGCAAAAAAAGGGGGGGGAUAUAAAAAGGCUUCCAAAAAGAGAGGGAUUUGAUCAGACCCUUUCUCUUGACAGAUCCUGCGCCUGCUUCUGCUCCAAUGUUCUCUUUGCAGCUGGGACUCAAAAGGAUUUACAACCUCCGACUAAAAAACAAGCUUGACAAAAUUAGAAAAGUUUCUUGUGUAGAUAAAGCAAGAUAAUCCCACCA